UCCAGACUCCUACGGGAGGCAGCAGUGAGGAAUAUUGGUCAAUGGGCGGGAGCCUGAACCAGCCAAGUCGCGUGAGGGAAGACGGUCCUACGGAUUGUAAACCUCUUUUGCCGGGGAGCAACGGGGUCCUUGCGAGGGUCCGAUGAGAGUACCCGGAGAAAAAGCAUCGGCUAACUCCGUGCCAGCAGCCGCGGUAAUACGGAGGAUUCAAGCGUUAUCCGGAUUUAUUGGGUUUAAAGGGUGCGUAGGCGGUCGGAUAAGUUAGAGGUGAAAUCCCGAGGCUCAACUUCGGAAUUGCCUCUGAUACUGUUCGGCUAGAGAGUAGUUGCGGUAGGCGGAAUGUAUGGUGUAGCGGUGAAAUGCUUAGAGAUCAUACAGAACACCGAUUGCGAAGGCAGCAUACCGGCGCUCAACUGACGCUCAUGCACGAAAGCGUGGGUAUCGAACAGGAUUAGAUACCCCUGUAC
Molecule: ribosomal RNA, 467 nt
Filed under: uncultured bacterium
Lineage: Bacteria
Description: bacterial SSU rRNA
Rfam family: Bacterial small subunit ribosomal RNA
Source: RNAcentral